Molossus molossus (Pallas's mastiff bat) is the source of this 126-nucleotide small nucleolar RNA. RefSeq annotates it as small nucleolar RNA SNORA33. Lineage: Eukaryota; Metazoa; Chordata; Mammalia; Chiroptera; Molossidae. The record is from RefSeq and is a predicted model, not a curated record. The transcript has a single exon.
CUGCCAAUGUGUCUGCUUACCUGAAUGUGUGUCUGCAGAAAUUUAGAGAAAGUUGGCAAUAAUAAAGCUAUGUUAUGAGAAUUAAAAACAUUGAAGUCAUUAUGAUCCUUGAAAAUGGUUGUAAGA